RNAcentral lists this ribosomal RNA (459 nucleotides) under uncultured bacterium. Its description in RNAcentral is "partial 16S ribosomal RNA". It matches the Rfam family "Bacterial small subunit ribosomal RNA", at positions 338 to 795 of the family's 1533-position model. The record is from RNAcentral.
CCUACGGGGUGCAGCAGUGAGGAAUAUUGGUCAAUGGGCGCGAGCCUGAACCAGCCAAGUCGCGUGCGGGAAGACGGUCCUAUGGAUCGUAAACCUCUUUUGCCCGGGGGUAAAACCCUCCACGCGUGGCGUUCUGCGGGUACCCUGCGAAAAAGCACCGGCUAACUCCGUGCCAGCAGCCGCGGUAAUACGGAGGAUCCGAGCGUUAUCCGGAUUUAUUGGGCUUAAAGGGUGCGUAGGCGGGAGUUCAAGUCAGCGGUAAAAUUGCGCGGCUCAACCUCUCCGAGCCGUUGAAACUGGUGGUCUUGAGUGAGCGAGAGGCAGGCGGAAUGCGUGGUGUAGCGGUGAAAUGCAUAGAUAUCACGCAGAACUCCGAUUGCGAAGGCAGCAUGCCGGGGCGCGACUGACGCUGAUGCACGAAGGUGCGGGUAUCGAACAGGAUUAGAUACCCUAGUAGUC